CAGGUCUAGAAAUGUUUUGCAAUAAAAAUUUGAUUUCAAAAAAAUGAAAGGGAACAAAAACUUUUGCUUAUAAUUUUACUUGGAGAAUGGCUGGAUUCAUUUGACCGUGUACAGUUUUGUUUAUAAUUAGUGAAGAGAUGAAAAUAAUGAAACUGUAUGGUGCAGAAAGUGUUUUUUUCAUUGCAGUUUCUGCUGCUGGGAAAGCGGUAGAUCACUAUGGCUGCUGUACCGUGAAAUGAAGCUUAUGAUAAAUAAAAUACUGCUGCUUGCUGGUCACUGAUUGAAGAUCGUUCAGUGGCUACCAUUGGCCAAUCUCACCAACGGGAUAUAAUAAGAACUGAUGCAGAUACAGGCAACCCACUUAACUUUGGAAGUAGUGCGCUGGAUUCGUCUAAAGAUAUGCUAAACAACCGGAGGAAAAUAAAAUGAUAUGUAAAACAAUUAAUUGUAUUGUAUUUUUAUUGUAAUAUUGGAGUAUAAUGUAUUCUAAAUCCUGCUGUAUUUCUAUUGUAAAACAAUA
Armigeres subalbatus is the source of this 520-nucleotide long non-coding RNA. RefSeq lists it as uncharacterized. Lineage: Eukaryota; Metazoa; Arthropoda; Insecta; Diptera; Culicidae. The transcript has 3 exons. The record is from RefSeq and is a predicted model, not a curated record.